CUUUUCAUCUGCAGAUGUUAAAGGUCAAGUGUUUUUACAGCCUGUGCACAUCCGUUUAUGGAUGUUCAGACAUAGAGCAAAUAUUUUGAAAUGCGUGAGAAAUUACUAGGUCCGCGUGAGACCGUCAUUGCAUGCCAAAAACCGUGAGACUCACGGCAAAACCGUGAGACUUGACAGGUUUCGGUAGGAGGCAAUGUCUGAAGUUCAGCCAAUUUGCAUACCGGUAUUUGAAAUGAGCAGAUGUUCCUGAAUAGAGAUGGGGCUACAUGACUGCAAAUUGUGAGUACGUUCUACUUAAGACACCACUUUGCUGUCGGCAGCUAUCCAAGUGAAUGCUUCGUGCACCAUGUUGGAAAGAAGUUAGAUUAUACAUGAACUAUACACUAGUCUAAUAAUAAGCCUUAUUAUUUGUGCAAAGUCAAUUGUGAUUUACAUUUUUUAAUGGUUGCAUACUUACAUUUGAAAUGCAUUUUUUCACUUGAAAUGUCUUUAAAUAGCCUACUGGUAAAAGGAAACACUUGAAAG
Dreissena polymorpha is the source of this 525-nucleotide long non-coding RNA. RefSeq lists it as uncharacterized. The record is from RefSeq and is a predicted model, not a curated record. The transcript has 3 exons. Lineage: Eukaryota; Metazoa; Mollusca; Bivalvia; Myida; Dreissenidae.